Molecule: ribosomal RNA, 468 nt
Filed under: uncultured bacterium
Lineage: Bacteria
Description: partial 16S ribosomal RNA
Rfam family: Bacterial small subunit ribosomal RNA
Source: RNAcentral
GACGAACGCUGGCGGCGUGCUUAACACAUGCAAGUCGAACGGAAAGGCCCUGCUUUUGUGGGGUGCUCGAGUGGCGAACGGGUGGGUAACACGUGAGUAACCUGCCCUUGACUUUGGGAUAACUUCAGGAAACUGGGGCUAAUACCGGAUAGGAGCUCCUGCUGCAUGGUGGGGGUUGGAAAGUUUCGGCGGUUGGGGAUGGACUCGCGGCUUAUCAGCUUGUUGGUGGGGUAGUGGCUUACCAAGGCUUUGACGGGUAGCCGGCAUGAGAGGGUGACCGGCCACAUUGGGACUGAGAUACGGCCCAGACUCCUACGGGAGGCAGCAGUGGGAAAUAUUGCACAAUGGGCGGAAGCCUGAUGCAGCAACGCCGCGUGCGGGAUGACGGCCUUCGGGUUGUAAACCGCUUUCGCCUGUGACGAAGCGUGAGUGACGGUAAUGGGUAAAGAAGCACCGGCUAACUACGUG